UGUCAUUCUUGAGUAUUGUUGAGGUAGGCGGAAUGUGUCAUGUAGCGGUGAAAUGCUUAGAUAUGACACAGAACACCGAUCGCGAAGGCAGCUUACCAAGCAAUAACUGACGCUCAUGCACGAAAGCGUGAGGAUCAAACAGGAUUAGAUACCCUGGUAGUCCACGCCGUAAACGAUGAUCACUCGAUGUUGGCGAUACACAGUCAGCGUCUUAGGGAAACUAUUAAGUGAUCCACCUGGGGAGUACGGUCGCAAGAUUGAAACUCAAAGGAAUUGACGGGGGCCCGCACAAGCGGAGGAGCAUGUGGUUUAAUUCGAUGAUACGCGAGGAACCUUACCUGGGCUCGAACGUGGAAUGACAGUCGCGGAAACGUGAUCUUCUUCGGACAUUCUGCGAGGUGCUGCAUGGUUGUCGUCAGCUCGUGCCGUGAGGUGUCGGGUUAAGUCCCAUAACGAGCGCAACCCCUAUCUUUAGUUGCCAUCAGGUAAUGCUGGGGACUCUAAAGAAACUGCCUACGCAAGUAGUGAGGAAGGCGGGGAUGACGUCAAAUCAGCACGGCCCUUACGUCCAGGGCUACACACGUGCUACAAUGGCCGGUACAGAGGGCAGCUACCUGGUGACAGGAUGCAAAUCUCCAAAGCCGGUCUCAGUUCGGAUCGAAGUCUGAAACUCGACUUCGUGAAGUUGGAUUCGCUAGUAAUCGCGCAUCAGCCAUGGCGCGGUGAAUACGUUCCCGGGCCUUGUACACACCGCCCGU
Molecule: ribosomal RNA, 758 nt
Filed under: uncultured bacterium
Lineage: Bacteria
Description: bacterial SSU rRNA
Rfam family: Bacterial small subunit ribosomal RNA
Source: RNAcentral